GAUAAUCAAUGAUAAGGUGAAAUUAAAUCUAAAUUGUCUUUCCUCUUGUUUGUACCGAGGUUGUAACAAUAAAUAACUAAGGGGUUUGGGGAGAACGGAGUAACUUCUUUAUUAAUGACGAACGGAAAGACAGUAAUUAACAGAACGGAAAACCGUAAGUACAGAACGGAGAACCGAAAGUACAAGUCGGAAAACUAAUAUUAAUGGUCGGAAAACCUGAAAAUACAGAACGGAAAACCAAAAAGUAAGAGAUAAAGAGCUAGGCAACAAUUCUCUCUUAAAUUCUCUAAGUGGUGACUUAGGUUCUCCAAUCCCUUCUUAGUAGUGGAUCUCCUCUUAUUUAUAGGCAAGAAGCUGAUCUAGGGUUCUCUUAGUCUCUCUUGCGAUAUCUCCGUUUUGCCCUUCUGAAUUUAUCAGGCUGGGCCGAGCCGUGAUGGGCCGAGCAGUCAUUCUGAUGGGCCGUUGUUCUGAUGGGCCGUUCUUCCUUGUUAGGAGCCUUAUUGACUUGUUCUAUUUGUGUUUGGGCCGAAUUGGGCAUAGAGGGCAAAGCCCGUAUCCCAUAAUUAGUCCCCCCCGAGUUCGUCGAGAGAAGGUUUCUUGCGAUUGGCGAAUAUUUUUCUGAAACCGGAAACAUGCCAAUUUGGCCCGAACCAAAGAAAAAUUCUUUGUUUGAGCAAGUGUGGAUUUUUGCAAGAGUCGGAGAAUCGCAAUAGGUGGAAAGAUAUAUGCUCGUUUGAGAGCUCGACGAUCUUCGAAGAUAGAUGAUUGUAGGAGAGCUUGACUAUCUUCGGAGAUAGGCGCUCGUGGGAGAGCUGGAAGAUCUUUGAAGAUAGGCGCAUGCGAGAGAGCUUGAAGAUCCUGAAGAAAGGUGCUCAUGGGAGAGCUUGAUGAGUUUGGAGAUAGUCGCUCGUGGGAGAUCUAUAAGAUCUUCUGAGAUAGGCGCUAGCAAGAGUGUCUGACGAUCUUGGAGAUAGGCGCUCGUGGAAGAGCUUUAAGAUCUUUGGAUGUAUGUGCUCGCAGGAGACGGAAGAGCUCGACGAUUUUGGAGAUAGGCGCUCGUGGGAGAGCUUGACGAUUUUGGAGAUAGGCGCUAGUGUGAGAGCUUGAUGAUUUUGGAGAUAGGCGCUUGUGUGAGAGCUUGACAAUUUCGGAGAUAGGCGCUCGUGUGGGAGGUUGAUGAUUUCGGAUAUAGGCGCUCGUGGAAGAGCUUUAAGAUCUUUGGAUGUAUGUGCUCGCAAGAGACGGAAGAGCUCAACGAUUUUGGAGAUAGGCGCUCGUGGGAGAGCUUGACGAUUUUGGAGAUGUGCGCUCGUGGGAGAGCAAAAAGAUCUUUUGAGAUAGGAGCUCGCGGGAGAGCUUGAUGAUUUUUGGAGAUAGGUGCUCGUGGUAGAGCUUUAAGAUCUUUGGAUGUAUGUGCUCGCAUGAGACGGAAGAGCUCGACGAUUUUGGAGAUUGUGGGAGAGCUUGACGAUUUUGGAGAUGUGCGCUUUUGCGAGAGUUAGUGAUUUUGAAGAGUUAGGCGUUUGUGCAAGAGCAAAGUUGUUUUAACGAGGAAAGUCUCGGUGAAGAUACUAAAAUCGAUGCAAGGCGUGCUGGUCUUGUAUAAAAGAGCUCGAUGAGGUCAAA
This 1626-nucleotide small RNA is filed under the name Arabidopsis thaliana (thale cress). RNAcentral describes it as "ATSL276790". The record is from RNAcentral. Lineage: Eukaryota; Viridiplantae; Streptophyta; Magnoliopsida; Brassicales; Brassicaceae.